This 268-nucleotide long non-coding RNA is filed under the name Musa acuminata (dwarf banana). RNAcentral describes it as "long non-coding RNA (MACU_LNC000918)". Lineage: Eukaryota; Viridiplantae; Streptophyta; Magnoliopsida; Zingiberales; Musaceae. The record is from RNAcentral.
CUAAGGUCGGCCUGAAAACUGAAGCCCAAAAGGUCGAGGAAGAUUCUCCAUCGGCACCGAGAACAUUCUACAAUCAACUGCCGGACUGGAGCUUUCUUUUUGCUGCCAUAACAACUAUCUUCUUGGCUGCGGAGAAGCAAUUUACCCUGAUUGACUGGAAGCCCAGGCGGCCUGACAUGCUUGCUGAUGCAUUUGGGCUCGGGAAGAUCAUGCCAGAUGGGCUAGUUUUCAGGCAGAAUUUCUCCAUCAGGUCUUAUGAGAUAGGGGC